GAGAGUGAGGAAGGGGGCGUGAUGAGCGGGGAAAGCCCCCUGGGUCCAGUGAGGAUCCCUGGCAUACCCCUGACACCUCCCCGACAAGGCCCUGCUGCUCAGCCCUCCAGGACGGAGUGAAAUCCCCUUGCCUCCUGCUGCAAAGGCAGAGGGAGGUGCACAGAGGAGGCUGGGUAGGGGGUGCCUGUCUUGGCAGAGGAAGACACACACACAGCCCCCUUGGGGCUCAGGGAGCUUUCCGCCCUCCUCUCUGGCAGAGGCAGCCUCCUUCUCCUCAGGGGGUUCCUUUCAAUGUUAAUGAGACUAAGAAGUUGGUAUUCAAAAUCUACUGUGUUCCUUCACGUAUUACAUGCCUCAAUUCGGCCUCAAGGGCCCAUCCCCGAGUCCAGCGGAAGGCUCAACUCCACCAUGCGCUACCACUCAAGGACACUGAGCCUUCUUUGUGGCUGUUGGGCUGGGGAGAAACACAGGAUGUAAGCAGUGGCCUCCUCUGCUACCACAUCCAGACCUAUGACAUAUGGUGCCCUAAACUUAUAUCAAACUCUGCUUCGGAUGGGAAACUGAAUCCUGGUCUUGUCUGGUUGUUGAUAAGAACCCCUGGCAGCUGGAGCCACAGAGAACAUGUCUUCAGAUAGAGAGCCGAUUUCCUUUGAGCAGUCUUUUCUCCAGAUUAAACAUACUUAAUUCCUUCCACAUGUCCUAUAUGACUAGUUACCAGACUUGUCACCAUCCUGGUCACCCUUGUCUGGACACUCUCCAGGGUGUCAACGUGCCUCUUGGGGUUUGACACAAUGCAGCAAGUGUGGUCUGCCCUUCUACUAAGGGAGUCUAAAU
RNAcentral lists this long non-coding RNA (834 nucleotides) under Equus caballus (horse). RNAcentral's name for it is "lncRNA (ENSECAG00000028199.3)". The record is from RNAcentral. Lineage: Eukaryota; Metazoa; Chordata; Mammalia; Perissodactyla; Equidae.